AUGUCAGUCUUAAAAAUCGAUGCGUCGUAUAUGACAGUUUCAAAAACAACUUGAUCAAAUUUUAGACAUGUUUCAACAACUUAUGAAAACAGUAUCUGAAGACGUCUAUCUCUGUGAGAAGCAGUCUUUAGCAGAUAGAUAAAGAAUCAGUCGUCACAUAAGAAGUGAGAUCCUGUGGAGAGAAAGUGUAGCAGUUUAACAAAAAGGCACUGAUAUAGCAGGUGCUAUUUGUGACGCUGCCUGUUUUGAAAAACCAUUAUUAAAACAGCUGUUACAAAAAGAAAUAUAUCCCUAAAUAUACGUGGAAGACAUCAGAUGAUCCAGAGUAACCAUGUUUAGUGUACGGUAAUGUUGUGAUAACCAAAUAACAGUGGAGCAUAAGAAUUUUCUUUUAAAACGCCUUAACUUUUGUAAGCAUACUUACGGCUACCCUAUACGACUCGCUUUAAUAAUUUUUUCCAGCUUGAAGUAGAAAAGAUGCACAUGUUGUUAACAUAUUCAACUUUAAUGACGAAGUAUAUAACAAACAUUACAUUUAUUUGCAAGAUGCUCUACGACUAUAAUUAAUACAACAUUUCCCUAAUUGCUUUUCAUGCAUUCACGUCCUACAUUAAAUAAGACCUUUACAUACAUAUAUGAUCGAAUUUAAGUUUAUUAAUAAUCCAUACUUCAGUGACUAUA
Molecule: long non-coding RNA, 681 nt
Organism: Xenia sp. Carnegie-2017
Lineage: Eukaryota; Metazoa; Cnidaria; Anthozoa; Malacalcyonacea; Xeniidae
Exons: 2
Source: RefSeq, a predicted model, not a curated record